UUCUGGUUAAAGUUUAACUGUCAUUUGGGGCCUUCUGUCAGUUGGAAUUCUCAGUAUGCAAAAGUGAAGGAGGUAUGCAUAUUUUGAUUGGUUGCUGCAGAUUUAGAAUCUUCAGUUAAGUAGUGUGUUUGGAUGGGGCUGGACUAGAGGGCUCAGAAGAAGUGUAUAUAAGGGCAGGUGUUAGACAGCAGAAGUUAGUUGGUUGGAGUUGUUGGGGUUCAUGGAGGCAGCCAGAAGAAGAUGAUAGCAGAGUGAGAAGGCAGUAGAUGAAGAGGACUAGAUAAAGAGAAGGGAGACCUGAGUUGCAGAUGGAAUGGCUUGGUGGCCAAAUACUUGGUGGGGUAGCUGGAUCACUGGGCUUGGGCUGAGGAGGCAAGGGAAAGAACUUGUCUGCAGCAAUGACGGGAGAAGAGAGAAGCAACUUUGAAUGCUGACCUACAGUGACUGGUAGGAGUACCAGAGGGGAGAUUUCCAGGGCAAUAAAGGCAAACCUAUGUUUUAAUAGGAGUUCAUUGAAUGGGUUCCUGGCCCACCCAACAGGUUGUUCUGAGCUGAGAUACCUACCUGGAUCACAUGCUAUGCAGACAGAUGGAUCGCUGCUUCCUGUGUUUGCAUUGUUCCACGUGGGCAGGCAGAUGGAACAAGAGUUCCUGGAAGGAUACAUAGAUGAGAGAAUCCCCCUUUGGGUACUGAAACAAGGGAGCUGAAAACAGCAAGAAGGCUCUUAAGGGGCAUCCAAAGGAAUACAACCAUGACAAAAGGGGUCAGGAGGUCCACUCUGGAGAUACGACUUACCUGUUGGAGCUGCUAGCCCAGGAGAUGAGCAAAAUUUCCCUGGUGGGCAGUU
Long non-coding RNA from Podarcis raffonei (Aeolian wall lizard), 847 nucleotides. RefSeq lists it as uncharacterized. The record is from RefSeq and is a predicted model, not a curated record. Lineage: Eukaryota; Metazoa; Chordata; Lepidosauria; Squamata; Lacertidae. The transcript has 4 exons.